GUAUCGGGCACUAACUGACACACACAUAUCGACACCUGUUCCAGGGUGCCAACGGCUUGGCCUGCGGUUUGGAAUCGGGGAUAUGUGGAGGACUAAC
Molecule: small RNA, 97 nt
Filed under: Halioglobus sp. HI00S01
Lineage: Bacteria; Pseudomonadati; Pseudomonadota; Gammaproteobacteria; Cellvibrionales; Halieaceae
Description: t44 RNA
Rfam family: t44 RNA
About the family: This family consists of a number of bacterial RNA genes of between 135 and 170 bases in length. The t44 gene is found between the map and rpsB genes in all species in the full alignment apart from Shigella flexneri.
Source: Rfam by way of RNAcentral